CGUGUGUCGCCGGGCACUCGUGGCUUGGGCACAGCCGCCUGAGAGCUGCGGCUGGGCGAGGGGCGAGGAGGAGACCGCCGGCUCCGUGUCGCGCUGCCCUGCACCUGCGGGCACGGUCGGAUGAAGGUGUGAGCUAAGCUAGAGCAGAGGGGUGGGGGGGGAAGUAAUAAUAAUAAGGCUGCCCCUUCAGAUGAUAUGUUGGGAGGAGGCUGGAGCUGGAAGAGCAACUGUGACACUUGUGAUCACCAUGUGGUGAGCAGAGGAAACUCCCCUCUCUUCCACCCUCAUGUCAAGAGCCUGUGCUCAAGAAGCAAAGUAUGAAGUGAGGCAUGGAUGCAAACAUCUCUUCCUACUAGCAGCCCAAGCAUACAUCGACCUGGAAGAGUGUUUAUACAAGCAUGAAUCAAAACAGAAGGAAGGGCAGGUAGACAUUACCUCUGAGCAGGAGGAAUGCUUCACCUGGUGAAGCUGGAGCCAACUAGACUCCAAAAUUGCCUAAGAGCCUUCCCAAACUACAACUUUACAGCUGCUAUCUCAAAUCAUUCUCUAAACAAGGUCUCACAUCCCAUGUUUUUGACAACUCUCUCCACACCAAAACAACUUGAGUUUAAGACUAGUCCAGGCUGGAAACACAUGUACCUUUUGAGGUUAAUGUAGUGGACUCCAUGUUUCUGUCUCUUGGGUAAGUUUCUAUAUUUUAAAAAGUAGAAGCACUACCCCACAUGUGUAUGAUGUGACAGCACGUGUCAAUUAAAGGUGUAAAAAAUGAUUACAACAAGAUGCUCUGAUUUGAGUAACCACAGAGAAGCCAAAGGGCUUGUGGUUCUAUGACAAGAUAAUUCAGAAAAUCACAAGGCAGUGUGACAUCUGGAGUGAAGAAAGACUUGUGGCAAUAUUUUCUUAAGGAUUG
Long non-coding RNA from Empidonax traillii (willow flycatcher), 910 nucleotides. RefSeq lists it as uncharacterized. The record is from RefSeq and is a predicted model, not a curated record. The transcript has 3 exons. NCBI's taxonomy places the organism in Eukaryota, Metazoa, Chordata, Aves, Passeriformes, Tyrannidae.